GCAGGGCUGGCUCCAGCGGCUGGGGGCCACCCACCCCAGGGAGGUCCGUGGCCUCCCCAGUGACCUGCCAGGAGGAGCAGGCAAGAGGAGCCCCGGGAGGCUGAGGCGAGCCCGGCGCCUUUAAGAAAGCGGAGCCUCCAACCCCGCCGCGCUCAGGGCACCGCUGGAGCUCGCUGUGAGGGAAGGAAGGUGAAAAUCCAGCGGGCCCCGAGAGCAGGGAAAGAGGGGCCGGUGCACCGCCAGCUCCCGCCUGCCCCGAGGGGAACGGGGGCUGGGAGGAAUGUGCUGAGCCGGGCGCUGGAGGGGGGUGGGGGGUCCCGGCUCCUGCCUUCGCUUCUUCUUUUCGUGUGUGCAGAAGUCCGAGCAGCAAAUCUCUGUUUCCUCCUCUUGUUUUGCGCGGUGCGAUGUAGGGAUUUCCUCUCCCCUCCCCCCAGCCCGGGUGGCUUCUGCAGCUGCAGCGGGGACGUUACUUUGUCUUGAUCCCCGCAGACCCGGCCGGCUGCCAGGGCGAGGGCGCGAGCUCCGGGCCGGGGGAGCCGGGGGGCAUGUAGCCGGGGCGAUGCGCGCCGCAGCCGCACCGUUUGCAUUUGCCGAGGCGGACGAGCAGGAAGAAACGGGAGUUACCCCGGCCCGCGCCGCGCGCGAGGCAGGGCCCGGCCGGCGGCGGCUCCGCUCCUCUCCCGGGGAAGGGGGAACAUGCGACUCGGCCCUAAAAAACCCAAACCCCGCCAGGCAGGUAGGGGACCCUGGCACCGGAGCAAAAUCAUAAAAUAAUCCCAGCCGAGCCGGCCCCAGGACGCAGCUUCCAGCUCCGCCGUGGAAAAAUCCGGGAUCCGGCACCAAAACCCCCCAAGAGCAGCAGUUUCCGCUUUCGGGAGAGCGAGCGGACGCAUCAAAGCAGCAUCCCCCAGAAAUUGCCCUGCUCCGAGGCGUGUUCCACCGGCCCGCGCUGCACGCCGGCUUCGGGGUCUCCAGCGCCCCGGGCUCUGCCCUGCCCUGGAUUUGGGCUUAUCCCGCAGAUCCGGCCCGGGAGGCGGCGACCUGGCGAGGAUGAGCCGGGACGCCAGGAGCAGAAGCGGGGCCCGAGCCCGCCGGAGCCCUGAAGGACGAGCGCUGCCCCGCUGAGACGCCGCCGCC
Caretta caretta (loggerhead turtle) is the source of this 1137-nucleotide non-coding RNA. NCBI's taxonomy places the organism in Eukaryota, Metazoa, Chordata, Testudines, Cheloniidae. The record is from RefSeq and is a predicted model, not a curated record.